This 474-nucleotide ribosomal RNA is filed under the name uncultured bacterium. Its description in RNAcentral is "partial 16S ribosomal RNA". It matches the Rfam family "Bacterial small subunit ribosomal RNA", at positions 28 to 507 of the family's 1533-position model. The record is from RNAcentral.
GAUGAACGCUAGCGGCAGGCCUAACACAUGCAAGUCGAGGGAAGAGCUUUCGAGCUUCGACCUUCGUACGGGGGCGUAACGCGUAUACAAUCUGCCUUUCACAUAGGGUUAGCCCGAAGAAAUUUGUAGUAAUACCGAAUGGUAUAUAGGAGUGGCAUCACAUUUAUAUUAAUGCUGAGUCGGUGAAAGAUGCGUAUGCGUUCUAUUAGCUAGUUGGAGAGGUAACGCCUAUCCAAGGCGACGAUAGAUAGGGGUUCUGAGAGGGAUAUCCCACACACUGGUACUGAGAUACGAAACAGACACGUACGGGAGGAAGAAGUGAGGAAUAUUAGACGAUGGUAGGAUGACUGAUCCAGCCAUGCCGCGUGCAGGAAGACGGCCUUAUGGGUUGUAAACUGCUUUUGCAGGGGAAGAAUAAGGACUACGAGUAGUUUGAUGACGGUAAUCUGCGCAUAAGCAUCGGCUAACUCCCUG